Herpailurus yagouaroundi (jaguarundi) is the source of this 967-nucleotide long non-coding RNA. RefSeq lists it as uncharacterized. The record is from RefSeq and is a predicted model, not a curated record. The transcript has 3 exons. NCBI's taxonomy places the organism in Eukaryota, Metazoa, Chordata, Mammalia, Carnivora, Felidae.
UGUCUUCUUUGGAAAAGUGUCUGUUCAUGUCUUUUGCCCACUUCUUGACUGGAUUAUUUGUUUAUUAGGUGUUGAGUUUAAAGCUACCAGCUUAUCAAGCCCUUCCUUUUGAAUCUCCCAGCAGCCUAGUGAAGGAGGCCAACUUGGAAUGUGCAUUCUGCACAGGAAGGAGACUGAACUCUGAGAGGCAGAUGCCUUCCCCCCAAGCCCGUCAGCUUCUAGGUGCACAGAAUCAGGAUUUCAACUGAGAUCUCCCGACACCAAAUCCAGGGCUCUUUCCGUUCCAUUCUGGAGAGGGACUUGCGACAAUGAGCCCCUAAAUGCCAGAAAAAAGAAGAGCGUGAUGAAGAGGAAGUGAGAGUCUUGUUCCUCAUGGGGGAAAAGAGGUAUUAUUUCAAAGAGGAAAGACAGGAAAAUGAGCCAGUAAAGGACCAAUGGUAACGGAGAGGUAGACUUUAGCUGAAGGCAAGGAAGAACUUUCUACAAUGUGGAAUUUUCUGGAUGUUUGUUAAAAAGCUACCUCACACUAUUAAGCUCUGCCUUGUUGGAGGACUGCAAAGAAAAGAGCCACCUCUUGCCUGCUGGCUUCCAGAUGGAAGCGUAGAGUGGAGAGUGGGGGCUGAAUGACUCCUGGUUCUGAGCUUGCCUGUCAGUGUCCGACAUCAUAGGACAUACUAUUGCAUAACUCACGGACUCUGCGUGAAUGGCGCCCCCUGGUGUAGCUUCAGUGCCCAGCAUCCUCCGACUCCUCAAAAGAAAGCCCGAUUGUUGAACCUGGAACUCUUGAGCGUCCGUCUCUGUCUUUGAAUGUUGUAAGAGAGAAUCAUUAAGAGGAUGAAAAGAUGAGGGAUUUUCCUCCAUUCUGUAUGUGAAGCAGCAAGAAAAUAAAUGUGAAUUCUUUAGUUCUCUGCUAACUCGGGCUGCUUGGCAGAAGAGGCAAUGAAUUAUUUCUGCUCCAGACUCUGCG